AGCGAACGCUGGCGGCAGGCUUAACACAUGCAAGUCGAGCGGGCACUUCGGUGUCAGCGGCAGACGGGUGAGUAACACGUGGGAACGUACCCUUUGGUUCGGAAUAACGCUGGGAAACUAGCGCUAAUACCGGAUACGCCCUUUUGGGGUAAGGCUUGCUGCCGCAGGAUGGGCCCGCGGCUGAUUCGCUUGUUGGGGGGGUAAUGGCCUACCAAGGCGACGAUCGGGAGCUGGUCUGGGAGGAUGAUUGGGAAGACUGGGAAGGAGAUACGGCCCAGACUCCUACGGGAGGCAGCCGUGGGGGAGGGUGCAGAAUGGGCUGAAGCCUGAUGCAGCAACGCCGCGUGCGGGAUGACGGCCUUCGGUUUGGAAACCGCUUUCGCCUGUGACGAAGCGUGAGUGACGGUAAUGGGUAAAGAAGCACCGGCUAACUACGUG
RNAcentral lists this ribosomal RNA (438 nucleotides) under uncultured bacterium. RNAcentral describes it as "partial 16S ribosomal RNA". It matches the Rfam family "Bacterial small subunit ribosomal RNA", at positions 30 to 507 of the family's 1533-position model. The record is from RNAcentral.